This is a long non-coding RNA of Suricata suricatta (meerkat), 408 nucleotides long. RefSeq lists it as uncharacterized. The record is from RefSeq and is a predicted model, not a curated record. Lineage: Eukaryota; Metazoa; Chordata; Mammalia; Carnivora; Herpestidae. The transcript is spliced from 3 exons.
GGAUUAUGUGCUUCCAGACCACACUUGACAACCUAAAGAAUGUGGCUGAGUUGAACACUGUACUCUGGCUAUAUACAUCUUGAAAUUUCUGUUACCAGUGCAGAGUGCAUCAAAUGAUCUCAAUUCAAAACCACAGUGAAGUAAAAGAGAAAGAAAGACCUAAAGAAUGUGGCUGAGUUGAACACUGUACUCUGGCUAUGUACAUCUUGAAAUUUCUGUUACCAGUGCAGAGUGCAUCAAAUGAUCUCAAUUCAAAACUACAGUGAAGUAAAGAGAAAAGAAAGAUGAGACACGGAGAAAAAGACAUCUAAAUUGACCAAUAAGAAUAUUCUUUAUGAUCCAAAUUGUUUAUUAAUUUGAGGUUGAAUAAAAGGAAAUCCUAAUAUUAAAAAUGCAUAACAAAUAUUA